GAUCAUGGCUCAGGAUGAACGCUAGCUACAGGCUUAACACAUGCAAGUCGAGGGGCAGCAUGACGAUAGUCUUGCUAUUGUUGAUGGCGACCGGCGCACGGGUGAGUAACGCGUAUCCAACCUUCCCGUUUGCUAGGGGAUAACCUUGCGAAAGUAAGACUAAUACCCUAUGAAGUUCUUCGCAGGCAUCUAAAGAGAACGAAAGUAUUUAUCGGCAACGGAUGGGG
Molecule: ribosomal RNA, 227 nt
Filed under: uncultured bacterium
Lineage: Bacteria
Description: partial 16S ribosomal RNA
Rfam family: Bacterial small subunit ribosomal RNA
Source: RNAcentral